UGUAUCUACAGUCCCACUGAAAAUUAGACAAGACAAGGAAGGCGUGUCAGCACUGUGACUUUAAUAAAAAGGUUUGCAUGGAGGAAGUUUUGUGAGUGACGUACGGAGAGCUGAGGUCACAGUUGGGAUGAAGCUGGUCUUCCUGGCAGCAACUCGCCAACUGAUCGCUAUCUAAGUUCUGCAGGACUCAGCUCUGCACCGGCUGACCUGUCUCUGAAUGCAGACACAGCAGGCGAUCAGCCAACCUGCACCAGCCUGCUGAAUGAGACAGAAAUACAAUACAUCCAAAAUACCAAUAAUUCCUGCAUGGAGGCACUAAGGGCUUCUUCCAUGUAAGGGUAUCACCCGGUAAACGGUGCACAUUGAUCAAGUCUAAGCUCACUGAGCACAGUCCCAGCUGGCCCCCGACACUGGUUUAGGUCAUCCACUGGUGCUGAGGCGUCGCUGAGUUCAGCUACUAUCUGAAAUACAUCACGACAACUUAUGAGCAAUCACACUGCAGUUUGCAAAAGAAAAUAGAAGUCAGCAAAGUUCACGUCAGCCGGAGCCGAGCUGUAAUUGACUUUAGGAGGCCGUUUGCAGAGAGUGCCAGGUGAAGGUGAGGUGAUAGUUGCAGGGCACAUCGUUCCACUGUCCUCCCUCGUGCCAGAUCAUCACCACGCAGUCCUCUCCUGAC
Thunnus maccoyii (southern bluefin tuna) is the source of this 676-nucleotide long non-coding RNA. RefSeq lists it as uncharacterized. The record is from RefSeq and is a predicted model, not a curated record. The transcript is spliced from 4 exons. NCBI's taxonomy places the organism in Eukaryota, Metazoa, Chordata, Actinopteri, Scombriformes, Scombridae.